GUCCAGACUCCUACGGGAGGCAGCAGUGGGGAAUAUUGCACAAUGGGGGAAACCCUGAUGCAGCGACGCCGCGUGAGCGAUGAAGUAUUUCGGUAUGUAAAGCUCUAUCAGCAGGGAAGAAAAUGACGGUACCUGACUAAGAAGCCCCGGCUAACUGCGUGCCAGCAGCCGCGGUAAUACGUAGGGGGCAAGCGUUAUCCGGAUUUACUGGGUGUAAAGGGAGCGUAGACGGCUGUGCAAGCCAGAUGUGAAAGCCCGGGGCUCAACCCCGGGACUGCAUUUGGAACUGUGUGGCUGGAGUGUCGGAGAGGCAGGCGGAAUUCCUAGUGUAGCGGUGAAAUGCGUAGAUAUUAGGAGGAACACCAGUGGCGAAGGCGGCCUGCUGGACGAUGACUGACGUUGAGGCUCGAAAGCGUGGGGAGCAAACAGGAUUAGAUACCCCCGUAA
RNAcentral lists this ribosomal RNA (447 nucleotides) under uncultured bacterium. Its description in RNAcentral is "bacterial SSU rRNA". It matches the Rfam family "Bacterial small subunit ribosomal RNA", at positions 329 to 793 of the family's 1533-position model. The record is from RNAcentral.